AUUGAACGCUGGCGGCAUGCCUAACACAUGCAAGUCGAGCGAGGUGUAGCAAUACACUUAGCGGCGGACGGGUGAGGAAUACAUAGGAAUUUGCCUAUAAGUGGGGGAUAGCGCGGGGAAACCCGGAUUAAUACCGCAUGAUGUCGAAAGACCAAAGCAGGGGACCGCAAGGCUUUGCGAUUUUAGAGAAGCCUAUGGCGGAUUAGCUAUUUGGUGAGGUAAUGGCUCACCAAGGCAACGAUGCAUAGCCGACCUGAGAGGGUGAUCGGCCACACUGGGACUGAGACACGGCCCAGACUCCUACGGGAGUCAGCAUUAGGGAAUCUUCCGCAAUGGACGAAAGUCUGACGGAGCACCGCCGCGUGAGUGUUGAAGGCUUUCGGGUCGUAACACUCUUUUGUUAGCGAAGAACAAGUACGAGAGUAACUGCUCGUACCUCGACGGUACCUAACCAGAAAGCCACGGCUAACUACGUGCCAGCCGCCGCGGUAA
Molecule: ribosomal RNA, 492 nt
Filed under: uncultured bacterium
Lineage: Bacteria
Description: partial 16S ribosomal RNA
Rfam family: Bacterial small subunit ribosomal RNA
Source: RNAcentral